UAAUAUUUUGUAUAUAUAUCUCGAAUAUUUAACGGUGACAAAUAUAUGUCUUGUUAUCAUCCCUACUACAAACUUGAUACAAACCGGUUCCUUGCUUCAUUUUUUUUUUUUUUUUUUUGUGCACUCAAAAUCAAUGUGAUGUUUAAUAUUUGCUACAAAACAAUACAAAAUUCAGAACUUAAUUUUAUCUAAUAAACACAAAGAUUUACCACUCUAGCCCAUAAAUUGAGACAAAAUUAAUUCCAAAAGGAAAAAGAGGAGAAGGAGUUUUAUUUUCUUCAAACGAACCAAAAUAUAGAGAGAAAAACUUUUUUUAUUUUGUCUCUGAAACAAAAAAGAGAAAAAACAUUGUAAAAACACAAAGAAGAAUAAGAGAUUCCGAAGUCAUUUUAAUAAUACAACCAACAAAGAGAAUUGCAUACGAUACCUCCAUCGAAUUGCAUAUGAUACCUCCACCGUUGGCUUCUCAAGGUUCACUGGUCUUCAUUCCCGAUUCUAUUCGUUAAACUGCUCAAGCAAUAAAUGCAGCAUCACUCCAUGACUUAUUAGCAGAACACUGUUUUGAAGAUGGUUGUAGUUUUACACGAAAAGCUAGAGCGGUCCUCAUUAUGUCUUGAAGUUCUGAUGGAUAUAUCCUUAUGUUAGUAUCAUUGGCCUUUAACAUGUUUCAGGUAAAUGAAUUAUGUCAUAUUAUGUUGUAACCGAUAAAUAUGCAAACUAUGAAGUUACUUGGACUAAGCAUUAUAUACAUGCCUCAAUCAUAUUCUUCCUCAUUUGAAGUGUUGAAAUUCCAAGUAAUGAAGUACAAUCAUUGUCCCACAUAAGGAAGUUACAAAAGCAAUUGUCGUAGAAAACUUCAAUGAUCAUUAUGUAUUUGUUUUAUGUUGUUUAGUAGUGAUACCAAUAAGUGUUUGAUAUAAGGACUCUAAUAUUAAUUUACAAAUUCUGAUAAAUUAAGGUUGAAUAUUGAACUA
Cicer arietinum (chickpea) is the source of this 974-nucleotide long non-coding RNA. RefSeq lists it as uncharacterized. NCBI's taxonomy places the organism in Eukaryota, Viridiplantae, Streptophyta, Magnoliopsida, Fabales, Fabaceae. The record is from RefSeq and is a predicted model, not a curated record.